CAGCAAACGUGGUGAAAACAAUGUUGAUUCCUAAAGUAGUAACAGAAGUUGUAUUGCAGUUGUGCAGCUUUUGAUAUAUACAGCUCAAGGCUUUAUCUUAGGAUGUAAGCAAAUGAACCUCUGCCUUCCACGAGGAUGUAGUGCCUGUCCGUGUAACAGCAUCUUGAGGGAAUGGAGAGGAAGAGGAGAAGAGAAUGAGCAGUGGCCACACCAACUAUUGCUCCGUAUGACUGAGAACAGGGCCAGCAAAGUAAAACUCCCAGAUGUGGAACACUGUUGAGCACUGUGGGCCCAGGGUCCUGCCUAAGAUACAGAUCAGCCUGUUUUCUUCUUACCUUUGCAGCCUUCACAGGCCCCUUCUCCUAUUCGAAAGUUUGUGUGACAAUAAAAACGGGAGACCUGAGAGCCCACUACAGUCACACAAAAGAACUGGUUAAAGGAAGUCAUAUCUACUCCAGCUGGAGCUUCUCUACAUAACUGACCUGCUUGGCUUCAUCUGCAUUUAGAUGCCACUUGGUCUGUUGCGGAUGUUGCCAUUUUCAGCCCAUCAAUUCCUCUGGGCAUUAUCAUCCACAAUUUACUCCACCUCCAGUUCCUCGGUAAGUUACGGGCAUCACCUGGUGCACAUUCACAUCCUCUGUACUGAUGCCCAAACCUGUUCCAGGUCUGGCUAGGUUUCCUUUCUACUUUCCUACUGUGAGCAAGAACCUGUUUAUUCCAUCACAGAAAUACUAUAAAUACUACUUAUAAAAUUAAAACAUAAAAAUCGUAAGUUAUUUUUCAAAGAUGGCCUAGAAAUGGUUUUCAUGCUGUUUUGGAGAGCCUCAACAUGCUUUGUUCCUGCUAGAACAAAUCCAUGUUCUGUUUGACAAAAUACAGCCAUGUGGUUAAGAGUUAUUAAAAGCAUUAAAACAUUAACCUCUUGUACCCUCAUUUUUCACUUUGUACACAUACAUAAGUGUUUAAUCGAAUUGAAGUUAAACACUAAAAAGUUUGAGAGGCCAAAUUUAUACAUUCUCUUUAGUUUAUACAGAAUGGAUGUGAUAAGCCAAAGGAAUUACAAGACACCACUACUCAGAAAAAGCUCAUCCGUUGAUUUAAGCUCUCUUGCUCCGUACUAGAACAUCUGGUGACAAACAUUCCCAGCAUUUAAAUCAAGGAGCUUUGUCCUACUGGGAUCAGUCGGUGUCCUGGCGCCACACUAACUUAUUCUACUGUCCCAUGGAAGCUGAACAAAUGAUUCUGUGUCAAAAGAUCUGCUGGAGAGGGGAUGAGCUGCAUCCCAGAGUGAGAACACAAGACUUAGUGCUUUGUGGCCGUAGUAUAGUAGACUUAACUGAUUCUCAUUCUACAGUUUUAUUUCAAAGAGCCUGAAUCCCAGAAGGGAUUACACUGGUCCUGAACUGAAAAGUCUGAUAGAGCAGUGCUGACCCUUGUCUCCUUUGCUUGUCUCUACUUGGCAUGGAAGGCCAGGAUGUCAUCUCUAAAGCCAGGGAGAAGCGUUUAUUAAAUCAGGAGUAUAAAGGCAAGGGCCAGGCCAGAGAUUCAGACAUACAAUCCACGUGCAGCUUCUGCUGAGGUGUAAUGAUCCUUCACCAGGGCUUUUGAGCA
Molecule: long non-coding RNA, 1611 nt
Organism: Pezoporus occidentalis (night parrot)
Lineage: Eukaryota; Metazoa; Chordata; Aves; Psittaciformes; Psittacidae
Exons: 4
Source: RefSeq, a predicted model, not a curated record